UAGAGGCACUUUUCCUUCCUUUU
This 23-nucleotide small nuclear RNA is filed under the name Arabidopsis thaliana (thale cress). RNAcentral's name for it is "snRNA_18753". Lineage: Eukaryota; Viridiplantae; Streptophyta; Magnoliopsida; Brassicales; Brassicaceae. The record is from RNAcentral.